This 360-nucleotide ribosomal RNA is filed under the name Kinosternon herrerai (Herrara's mud turtle). Its description in RNAcentral is "partial 12S ribosomal RNA". It matches the Rfam family "Bacterial small subunit ribosomal RNA", at positions 875 to 1361 of the family's 1533-position model. The record is from RNAcentral. Lineage: Eukaryota; Metazoa; Chordata; Testudines; Kinosternidae.
CUUAGAUAUUUUAAAUACAAAAAAUAUUCGCCAGAGAAUUACGAGCUAAACAUGCUUAAAACUCUAAGGACUUGGCGGUACCUCAAACCCACCUAGAGGAGCCUGUUCUAUAAUCGACAAUCCACGAUUCACCUCACCAUCUCUUGCCAACUCCGCCUAUAUACCGCCGUCACAGCUUACCUUAUGAAAGAUAAAAAGUUAGCAAAAUAAUCUAAAUAAUUAACAAAUCAGGUCAAGGUGUAGCUUACUGAGAUGGAAGAAAUGGGCUACAUUUUCUAUACUAGAAAUAACUACGGAAAGAUACCUUGAAACAGGUUCUAUAAGCAGGAUUUAGCAGUAAACUGGGAAAAGAGAGCCCAA